UUCUGUCCUAAUCAAUUUGUUUACUUCAAAGCUUUAUAACUUAUACAAUCACAUAAUAUACUGGUAAGAAUAAAUAAGGAAAAUGAAUAUUUUAAGUCACACAGAAAAAUAAAUUAAAAGGAUUGUCAAGUACUGCAAAAUCUAACAACUGGAAUGGUUCUCUCGUUUAAUAACCGCAGUGUGAAUUUAAGUUCUAUAAAAUACACUGUGAUUUAGAAAUCGGAUAUAUAUUCAACGCAGACAUUUGUAUCAACACAUACGUAACAGAUGGUAGCAACAUUUUAUUUGUUAUAUUUUAUUUUCGGAAACCUUUUGAAUGAUUAAAACACUCGGGUAACGAUUGUAUCAACC
RNAcentral lists this long non-coding RNA (351 nucleotides) under Mytilus galloprovincialis (Mediterranean mussel). The record is from RNAcentral. Lineage: Eukaryota; Metazoa; Mollusca; Bivalvia; Mytilida; Mytilidae.